GCUGGAGGCUCGGCCCCAGGCCGGAGAGGAACUCCUUUCGCGAGCUGUCGCCGCGCCGGCGUCUCAGCUGCUCGCCGCCCCCCACCCCAGAGUGCGUGCCGGGUGACUCCCGCCACCUUUGCGACCCUCCUGAGCUUAGGGGACUGCGAGCGGGAGGGAGUCUCAGGCCCCCGGCCGCAGGAUGGUGGCGGAGCGGUCCCCGGCCCGCAGCCCCGGGAGCUGGCUGUUCCCCGGGCUGUGGCUGUUGGUGCUCAGCGGUCCCGGGGGGCUGCUGCGCGCCCAGGAGCAGCCCUCCUGCAGAAGAGCCUUUGAUCUCUACUUCGUCCUGGACAAGUCUGGGAGUGUGGCAAAUAACUGGAUUGAAAUUUAUAAUUUCGUACAGCAACUUGCGGAGAGAUUUGUGAGCCCUGAAAUGAGAUUAUCUUUCAUUGUGUUUUCUUCUCAAGCAACUAUUAUUUUGCCAUUAACUGGAGACAGAGGCAAAAUCAGUAAAGGCUUGGAGGAUUUAAAACGUGUUAGUCCAGUAGGAGAGACAUAUAUCCAUGAAGGACUAAAGCUAGCGAAUGAACAAAUUCAGAAAGCAGGAGGCUUGAAAACCUCCAGUAUCAUAAUUGCUCUGACAGAUGGCAAGUUGGACGGUCUGGUGCCAUCAUAUGCAGAGAAAGAGGCAAAGAUAUCCAGGUCACUUGGGGCUAGUGUUUAUUGUGUUGGUGUCCUUGAUUUUGAACAAGCACAGCUUGAAAGAAUUGCUGAUUCCAAGGAGCAAGUUUUCCCUGUCAAAGGUGGAUUUCAGGCUCUUAAAGGAAUAAUUAAUUCUAUACUAGCUCAGUCAUGUACUGAAAUCCUAGAAUUGCAGCCCUCAAGUGUCUGUGUGGGGGAGGAAUUUCAGAUUGUCUUAAGUGGAAGAGGAUUCAUGCUGGGCAGUCGGAAUGGCAGUGUUCUCUGCACUUACACUGUAAAUGAAACAUAUACAACGAGUGUAAAACCAGUAAGUGUACAGCUUAAUUCUAUGCUUUGUCCUGCACCUAUCCUGAAUAAAGCUGGAGAGUAAGUACUUAAUUUAAAACAAUUUUAUAACAUUUUUAGUAAAAAAUUAUUAGAAAAUGGUGACAUAUACAUUGGUCAUUUUAUUCUAUCUUUUUUUGAUAUACAGAGCAUUAAAAAGUAAGCCUUGGGCAAGCCACUUAACUUAGUACUAGGCAAGCAAGUUAGUACUUCAGCUAUACUCUUAGUAGGUUGAAAAUGCUAAAAAGUGUUUUAGCUAGUUUCUUCAAUACUGAUUAAAAGGCUCUAUGAAUAUUUAUCUGGAUGGGUUUGAGAACUAUUAUUAGAAUCUAUAAAUAAUCAGAGCCAUAAACAUUAUUUUAAACACACACACAUGCACACGCACACACAUGUGUGUGCAUGCACACACCCAGUUCAAAAGUGAGAUUUUCAAUAAUUACUAUAGUAUUUAAUAAAUAUUGCGAUUAAAGUGCCUCAAGAACAUGGCUAAAAAAAGGCACACCUUGCAC
Molecule: long non-coding RNA, 1514 nt
Filed under: Homo sapiens (human)
Lineage: Eukaryota; Metazoa; Chordata; Mammalia; Primates; Hominidae
Description: long non-coding RNA NONHSAT200119.1
Source: RNAcentral